Molecule: non-coding RNA, 132 nt
Organism: Citrobacter youngae ATCC 29220
Lineage: Bacteria; Pseudomonadati; Pseudomonadota; Gammaproteobacteria; Enterobacterales; Enterobacteriaceae
Source: Rfam
CUGAACCGAUGCCGAGGGGGAGUCAGGACGAUCCGGGGGAGUGACCUGCGAAAGCGGGCGGCUGCUCAGAGAGCACAACCGAUACCCCACAACACCUCAACAGCGACCGCCCCGGCGCUCAGGUAUCGUUCG